Non-coding RNA from Blautia sp. CAG:52, 47 nucleotides. The record is from Rfam. NCBI's taxonomy places the organism in Bacteria, Bacillati, Bacillota, Clostridia, Lachnospirales, Lachnospiraceae.
CUUGACUUUUAAUCAAGUUGUCCGGGGUUCGAAUCCCCGAUGUCUCA